AUACGUAGGUGGCAAGCGUUGUCCGGAAUUAUUGGGCGUAAAGCGCGCGCAGGCGGUCUUUUAAGUCUGAUGUGAAAUCUUGCGGCUUAACCGUAAGCGGUCAUUGGAAACUGGGAGACUUGAGUACAGAAGAGGAGAGUGGAAUUCCACGUGUAGCGGUGAAAUGCGUAGAGAUGUGGAGGAACACCAGUGGCGAAGGCGACUCUCUGGUCUGUGACUGACGCUGAGGCGCGAAAGCGUGGGGAGCAAACAGGAUUAGAUACCCUGGUAGUCCACGCCGUAAACGAUGAGUGCUAGGUGUUAGGGGUUUCGAUACCCUUAGUGCCGAAGUCAACACAUUAAGCACUCCGCCUGGGGAGUACGGCCGCAAGGCUGAA
Molecule: ribosomal RNA, 377 nt
Filed under: uncultured bacterium
Lineage: Bacteria
Description: bacterial SSU rRNA
Rfam family: Bacterial small subunit ribosomal RNA
Source: RNAcentral